This 463-nucleotide ribosomal RNA is filed under the name uncultured bacterium. Its description in RNAcentral is "partial 16S ribosomal RNA". It matches the Rfam family "Bacterial small subunit ribosomal RNA", at positions 330 to 792 of the family's 1533-position model. The record is from RNAcentral.
UCCAGACUCCUACGGGAGGCAGCAGUGGGGAAUAUUGCACAAUGGGGGGAACCCUGAUGCAGCGACGCCGCGUGAGUGAAGAAGUAUUUCGGUAUGUAAAGCUCUAUCAGCAGGGAAGAAAAACCGACCAUAGGGUCGCUAGACGGUACCUGAUUAAGAAGCCCCGGCUAACUACGUGCCAGCAGCCGCGGUAAUACGUAGGGGGCAAGCGUUAUCCGGAUUUACUGGGUGUAAAGGGAGCGUAGACGGCAGCGCAAGUCUGAAGUGAAAUGCCGGGGCUUAACCCCGGAACUGCUUUGGAAACUGAGCAGCUAGAGUGCAGGAGAGGUAAGUGGAAUUCCUAGUGUAGCGGUGAAAUGCGUAGAUAUUAGGAGGAACACCAGUGGCGAAGGCGGCUUACUGGACUGUAACUGACGUUGAGGCUCGAAAGCGUGGGGAGCAAACAGGAUUAGAUACCCUAGUA